UUGCUGGAUGCUGCGCCAAAACCACAGUUGCUCCCCUGGACCGAGUGAAGGUUUUAUUACAAGCUCAUAACCGUCAUUACAAACACUUAGGGGUACUUUCCACACUGCAUGCUGUUCCCCAAAAGGAAGGCUACCUUGGACUAUAUAAAGGAAACGGUGCAAUGAUGAUUUGGAUCUUUCCCUAUGGUGCAAUCCAGUUCAUGGCCUUUGAGCAUUAUAAAACGUUCAUUACUACAAAGCUGGGAGUUUCUGGUCAUGUGCACAGAUUAAUGGCUGGAUCCAUGGCAGGCAUGACAGCGGUUAUCUGCACUUACCCUCUUGUGGUCAGGGUGCGCCUGGCCUUCCAGGUGAAAGGAGAGCACACCUAUUCAGGGAUCAUCUAUGCCUUCAAGACAACCUAUGCCAAGGAAGGUGGUUUCCUUGGAUUCUACCGAGGUCUGGUGCCUACUAUAUUAGGAAUGGCUCCAUAUGCAGGGGUCUCCUUUUUUACCUUUGGUACCUUGAAGAGUGUUGGGCUUUCCUAUGCUCCUGCCCUGCUUGGCCAACCUUCGUCCUACAACCCCAAUGUCUUAGUUUUGAAAACUCACAUAAACCUCCUUUGUGGUGGUGUUGCUGGAGCAAUAGCACAGACGAUAUCCUACCCAUUUGAUGUGACCUGUCGGAGAAUGCAGUUAGGGGCAGUCCUGCUGGAGUUUGAGAAGUGCCUUACCAUGCGGGAGACCAUGAAGUACGUCUAUGGACACCAUGGGAUUCGGAGAGGAUUGUACCGUGGCUUAUCUCUGAACUACAUUCGCUGUAUUCCCUCUCAAGCUGUGGCUUUCACAACGUACGAACUGAUGAAGCAAUUUUUUCACCUUAACUGAAAGAAAAAAAAUCAUGAUUUGUAGUUAUUUUCCUCAGUAAAUUCUCAGAAGGAUGUGUGUGUGUGUGUGUGUG
RNA transcript from Mus pahari (shrew mouse), 936 nucleotides. It is a transcript of the gene named graves disease carrier protein homolog pseudogene, with no coding region annotated. The record is from RefSeq and is a predicted model, not a curated record. NCBI's taxonomy places the organism in Eukaryota, Metazoa, Chordata, Mammalia, Rodentia, Muridae. The transcript has a single exon.